Molecule: ribosomal RNA, 72 nt
Filed under: Steinernema glaseri
Lineage: Eukaryota; Metazoa; Nematoda; Chromadorea; Rhabditida; Steinernematidae
Description: partial 28S ribosomal RNA
Rfam family: Eukaryotic large subunit ribosomal RNA
Source: RNAcentral
ACGACCUCAACUCAAGCAAGACUACCCGCUGAACUUAAGCAUAUCAGUGAAGCGGAGGAAAAGAAACUAACU